AAAAGUUUAUCAAAAUAUUCUACGCAGCGCUACGAUCACACAAACGUAAAGUUCACGAAAAUCGGAUUUAAAACGUAGAAGUUAUGAAUUUUCUAAGAUUUCUAUAGAGAAAUAAUUAAUUAAAUAGAACCAGGAAAUUAAAAAGUUUCAAAACAGUAAACUAAUAUUUCUAACAUGUAGAUAUCGUAAAUACGAAUCCAACGGAAUUUGAAUGGACAAAAACGGAGUUAAAAUGAGCAUUUUAUAAGCAAAACAAAUCUAGUGGCAAUUCUGUAAUUUCUGGAAAGCGCCUUU
RNAcentral lists this long non-coding RNA (294 nucleotides) under Sorghum bicolor (sorghum). RNAcentral describes it as "long non-coding RNA (SBIC_LNC004958)". The record is from RNAcentral. Lineage: Eukaryota; Viridiplantae; Streptophyta; Magnoliopsida; Poales; Poaceae.